AGUGAACGCUGGCGGUAGGCCUAACACAUGCAAGUCGAACGGCAGCACAGUAAGAGCUUGCUCUUACGGGUGGCGAGUGGCGGACGGGUGAGGAAUACAUCGGAAUCUACUUUUUCGUGGGGGAUAACGUAGGGAAACUUACGAUAAUACCGCAUACGACCUACGGGUGAAAGCAGGGGAUCUUCGGACCUUGUGCGAUUGAAUGAGCCGAUGUCGGAUUAGCUAGUGGGCGGGGUAAAGGCCCACCAAGGCGACGAUCCGUAGCUGGUCUGAGUGGAUGAUGGGCCACCCUGGAACUGAGACACGGUCCAGACUCCUACGGGACGCAGCAGUGGGGAAUAUUGGACAAUGGGCGCAAGCCUGAUCCAGCCAUACCGCGUGGGUGAAGAAGGCCUUCGGGUUGUAAAGCCCUUUUGUUGGGAAAGAAAAGCAGCAGGUUAAUACCCCGCUGUUCUGACGGUACCCAAAGAAUAAGCACCGGCUAACUUCGUG
RNAcentral lists this ribosomal RNA (492 nucleotides) under uncultured bacterium. RNAcentral's name for it is "partial 16S ribosomal RNA". It matches the Rfam family "Bacterial small subunit ribosomal RNA", at positions 29 to 507 of the family's 1533-position model. The record is from RNAcentral.